CCCGGUGACCAUAGCGAGGAGGUAACACCCGUUCCCAUCUCGAACACGGAAGUGAAGGGCCUCUGCGGCAAUGGUACUGCGACGUUGGUUGUGGGAGAGUAGCACGUCGCCGGGG
This 115-nucleotide ribosomal RNA is filed under the name Kiritimatiellia bacterium. The record is from RNAcentral. Lineage: Bacteria; Pseudomonadati; Kiritimatiellota; Kiritimatiellia.